RNAcentral lists this ribosomal RNA (497 nucleotides) under uncultured bacterium. RNAcentral describes it as "partial 16S ribosomal RNA". It matches the Rfam family "Bacterial small subunit ribosomal RNA", at positions 28 to 507 of the family's 1533-position model. The record is from RNAcentral.
GACGAACGCUGGCGGCGUGCUUAAUACAUGCGAGUCGAGCGAAAAGACGAGGAGUUUGCUCCUCUGACGUUUGCGGAGGACGGGUGAGUAACACGUGGAAAAUCUACCUAUAAGUCUGGGAUCAUUUCGGGACACCGGCGCUAAUCCCGGAUAAUAUACUGCACCGUAUGGUUCAAUAGUGAAAUACGGCUUUGCUGUCACUUAUCGCUGGUUCUGCGCCGUAUUAGCUGGUUGGUAAGUUAAAGGCUUUCCAAGGCAACGAUGCGUAGCCGACCUGCUAGAGUGGUCGGCGGCAUGGGAACGGAGACGGCGUCCAGGCUCCUGCGGGAGGCCGCAGUCGGGAAUCGGCCGCAGUAGUCGGAAGCCUGGCGGAGCGGCGCCGCGUGAGAGAUGGAAGUCUUCGGAUCGUAAUACUCUGUUUUUAGGGAUGAACAGAUGUGGAAGGAACUAUGCACGUCUUGACGGUACCUGAUCAGAAAGCCCCGGCUAACUACGUG